This 73-nucleotide transfer RNA is filed under the name Bos taurus (domestic cattle). It matches the Rfam family "tRNA". Rfam says of the family: Transfer RNA (tRNA) molecules are approximately 80 nucleotides in length. Their secondary structure includes four short double-helical elements and three loops (D, anti-codon, and T loops). Further hydrogen bonds mediate the characteristic L-shaped molecular structure. tRNAs have two regions of fundamental functional importance: the anti-codon, which is responsible for specific mRNA codon recognition, and the 3' end, to which the tRNAs corresponding amino acid is attached (by aminoacyl-tRNA synthetases). tRNAs cope with the degeneracy of the genetic code in two manners: having more than one tRNA (with a specific anti-codon) for a particular amino acid; and 'wobble' base-pairing, i.e. permitting non-standard base-pairing at the 3rd anti-codon position. The record is from Rfam by way of RNAcentral. Lineage: Eukaryota; Metazoa; Chordata; Mammalia; Artiodactyla; Bovidae.
UCCCUGGUUGUCCAGUGGUUAGGAUGCUGUGCUCCCAGUGCAGGGAGCCCAGGUUCGAUCCCUGGUUGGGGAA